RNAcentral lists this ribosomal RNA (1347 nucleotides) under Triticum aestivum (bread wheat). Its description in RNAcentral is "partial small subunit ribosomal RNA". The record is from RNAcentral. Lineage: Eukaryota; Viridiplantae; Streptophyta; Magnoliopsida; Poales; Poaceae.
AUGGCGGCGGCGACGACGAUCCAGUCGGUGAAGGCGCGGCAGAUCUUCGACAGCCGCGGCAACCCCACCGUCGAGGUGGAUAUUGGGCUCAGCGACGGGAGCUUCGCCAGGGGCGCCGUGCCCAGCGGCGCCUCCACCGGAAUCUACGAGGCCCUGGAGCUGAGGGAUGGAGGCUCUGAUUACCUCGGCAAAGGUGUUCUCAAGGCGGUGAGCAAUGUAAACGCCAUCAUCGGGCCGGCGCUGAUCGGGAAGGACCCGACCGAGCAGACCGACAUCGACAACUUCAUGGUCCAGCAGCUCGACGGGACCUCCAACGAGUGGGGCUGGUGCAAACAGAAGCUCGGGGCAAACGCGAUCCUCGCAGUGUCGCUGGCGGUGUGCAAGGCCGGCGCCAUGGUCAAGAAGAUCCCUCUUUACCAGCACAUUGCAAAUCUUGCCGGGAACAAGACCCUGGUGCUGCCCGUGCCAGCUUUCAAUGUGAUCAACGGAGGUUCUCACGCCGGGAACAAGCUCGCCAUGCAGGAGUUCAUGAUCCUCCCAACCGGCGCCGCCUCGUUCAAGGAGGCCAUGAAGAUGGGAGUUGAGGUGUACCACCACCUUAAGAGCAUAAUCAAGAAGAAGUAUGGCCAAGACGCCACAAACGUUGGGGAUGAAGGUGGCUUUGCACCUAACAUUCAGGAAAACAAGGAGGGCCUUGAACUGUUGAAGGCAGCUAUAGCUAAGGCUGGCUACACUGGAAAGGUGGUCAUUGGAAUGGAUGUUGCUGCUUCUGAAUUCUACAGCGAGAAGGACCAGACCUAUGACCUUAAUUUCAAGGAGGAUAACAACGACGGAUCCCACAAAAUCUCGGGCGACAGCCUGAAAGAUCUGUACAAGUCCUUCGUCUCCGAGUACCCUAUCGUGUCGAUCGAGGACCCGUUCGAUCAGGAUGACUGGGCCACCUACGCCAAGAUGACCGGUGAGGUUGGGCAGCAGGUGCAGAUUGUCGGAGACGACCUUCUUGUUACUAACCCCACGAGGGUUGCCAAGGCGAUCAGUGAGAAGACCUGCAAUGCUCUUCUCCUGAAGGUGAAUCAGAUAGGCUCGGUGACGGAGAGCAUCGAGGCCGUCAGCAUGUCCAAGCGCGCCGGGUGGGGAGUGAUGGCGAGCCACAGGAGUGGUGAGACAGAGGACACCUUCAUCGCCGACCUCUCGGUCGGCCUGGCCACGGGCCAGAUCAAGACUGGAGCUCCCUGCAGGUCCGAGCGUCUGGCCAAAUACAACCAGCUGCUGAGGAUCGAGGAGGAGCUCGGCGACGCGGCGGUGUACGCCGGAGCAAACUUCAGGGCGCCGGUGGAGCCCUACUGA